CUGCCACCAUCAGUGUUUUAAUGUUGCAUCGCAUGUAAUGUUGCGUGCAUUUGGCCAUGAGAUUUUUGACAUAAAUCGUAGCUAUUUAUGCAGACUUGUGCUUUUGUAGAUUUUAUCAGCUGGUUUAGAAGUCAGAUAGUGAUGUCACUUCCUCUGCUUGGUGCCAUGAGGUGGUACACCAUACAUAAAUCCAGCCCUGUGUUUACUGGUUGAGUGAGUGGUGAUUUUAUUAGCAUGGUGUAGCUAUUUCACUUGUAAAAGAAUGCAGCAAAAUGUGUUUUGGGUCAUGUGGCAUGACAAAUUAAAAAAGAAAAACAGCUUGCAAUAAGAAUGGAAAGAGAUUUGGAGAUAUACACAAGCAUACACAUAUUAAAAUAAUUAAAAGACCACUUGAAAAUUUGGAUUUUCUCAAAAAUCUUCAAGUUUUUAAACUUAUUUUUGUUCUGUUGACAUGUCUUUCUAAUUUAAAGCACAAAUGUUGUCAAUUAGAUCAUUGCUUAUAAAGAUAAAAAGCUGCCAUUUUUUUCAGAUGUGUAUUAUUAAUAUCUAAACAACAAGAACAAAAAAUGCUAUAAGAAUGGUAGUGUUAUUAAAAAAAAUUGGAUGAGAUGCUAUUAGGCUACAGGAACUUGAACUGACACCUGUGUAUUAGACAAAAGUGAAACAAAUACAUAUGUUGUACUCAAACACACCCAAUAAAUCCUUUAAAAUGUAAGUGGUCUUUAAAAUAUUUUUACCUAGCUGUAUAUUUAUACAUUUAAUGUGUCAAAGACAAAAGUGAUUUUUAUAAAUUGUCAAAAUAUAAUUUUUUU
Danio rerio (zebrafish) is the source of this 812-nucleotide non-coding RNA. NCBI's taxonomy places the organism in Eukaryota, Metazoa, Chordata, Actinopteri, Cypriniformes, Danionidae. The record is from Ensembl.